UCUCCGUUGGUGAACCAGCGGAGGGAUCAUUACCGAGUGCAAACUCAUAACCCUUUGUGAACCUAUAUCUGUUGCUUCGGCGGCUCGCUCUCGGGCGAGCCCGCCGGUAAUAUCAGUAUCUCUGUUUGAACCCGACGAUACCUCUGAGUGUUCUUAGCGAACAGUUAAAACUUUUAACAACGGAUCUCUUGGCUCUA
This 197-nucleotide unclassified non-coding RNA is filed under the name plant metagenome. RNAcentral's name for it is "partial contains small subunit ribosomal RNA, internal transcribed spacer 1, and 5.8S ribosomal RNA". The record is from RNAcentral.